This 437-nucleotide ribosomal RNA is filed under the name uncultured bacterium. RNAcentral's name for it is "bacterial SSU rRNA". It matches the Rfam family "Bacterial small subunit ribosomal RNA", at positions 29 to 507 of the family's 1533-position model. The record is from RNAcentral.
AACGAACGCUGGCGGCAUGCCUAACACAUGCAAGUCGAACGAUGCCUUCGGGCAUAGUGGCGCACGGGUGCGUAACGCGUGGGAAUCUGCCCUUGGGUUCGGAAUAACUCAGAGAAAUUUGAGCUAAUACCGGAUGAUGACGUAAGUCCAAAGAUUUAUCGCCCAAGGAUGAGCCCGCGUAAGAUUAGCUAGUUGGUGGGGUAAAGGCCUACCAAGGCGACGAUCUUUAGCUGGUCUGAGAGGAUGAUCAGCCACACUGGGACUGAGACACGGCCCAGACUCCUACGGGAGGCAGCAGUGGGGAAUAUUGGACAAUGGGCGAAAGCCUGAUCCAGCAAUGCCGCGUGAGUGAUGAAGGCCUUAGGGUUGUAAAGGCUCUUUUACCCUAGGGAUGAUAAUGACAGUACCUGGAGAAUAAGACUCCGGCUAACUCCGUG